RNAcentral lists this ribosomal RNA (1081 nucleotides) under uncultured Rhizaria. RNAcentral's name for it is "SSU rRNA". It matches the Rfam family "Eukaryotic small subunit ribosomal RNA", at positions 577 to 1674 of the family's 1831-position model. The record is from RNAcentral.
CGGUAAUUCCAGCUCCAAUAGCGUAUACUAAAGUUGUUGCAGUUAAAAAGCUCGUAGUUGGAUUUCUGUGGGGACGGAGCGGCCGGUCGCAACUUGCGAUUCGAGCUAGCGCUUUCCCUACAUCCUGCCGCGAACCGUGCUACCAUUAGUUUGGUGGCGCCGGGGAUCGGCUCGUUUACUUUGAGAAAAAUAGAGUGUUCAAAGCAGGCCACACGCCUUGAAUAAGUUAGCAUGGAAUAAUAAUAAAGGACUUCGGUUCUAUUUUGUUGGUGUUCGGGACUGAAGUAAUGAUUGAUAGGGACAGUUGGGGCGGUCAGUAUUCCAAAGCGAGAGGUGAAAUUCUUAGACCUUCGGAAGACUAACAGCUGCGAAAGCGUUCCGCAAGGAUGUUCCCUUUGAUCAAGAACGAAAGUUGGGGGAUCGAAGACGAUCAGAUACCGUCGUAGUCUCAACUAUAAACUAUACCAGCUAGGGAUCGGCCAACGUUAAAUUAUUCGACUUGGUCGGCACCUUAUGAGAAAUCAAAGCAUCUGGGUUCCGGGGGGAGUAUGGUCGCAAGGCUGAAACUUAAAGGAAUUGACGGAAGGGCACCACCAGCCGUGGAGCCUGUGGCUUAAUUUGACUCAACACGGGAAAACUUACCAGGUCCAGACAUAGUAAGGAUUGACAGAUUGAUAGCUCUUUCUUGAUUCUGUGGGUGGUGGUGCAUGGCCGUUCUUAGUUGGUGGAGUGAUUUGUCUGGUUAAUUCCGUUAACGAACGAGACCCCAGCCUGCUAAAUAGCGCGGUUGAGCUUUGCUCGGCGCGAGCUUCUUAGAGGGACUAUGAUGCGCGAUAGCACAUGGAAGUUUGGGGCAAUAACAGGUCUGUGAUGCCCUUAGAUGUUCUGGGCCGCACACGGGCUACACUGGCGCCUGCAACGAGCAUAUCAGCUGGCCCGAGAGGGUCUUGGCUAAUCUUUUGAACCGGCGCCGUGCUUGGGAUUGACCAUUGCAAUUGUUGGUCAUGCAACGAGGAAUGCCUUGUAAACGCGAGUCAUCAACUCGCAUUGAAUACGUCCCUGCCCUUUGUACACACCGCCC